AACUCUGCUUCAGAAACCAGUAGGUGACAGACAUUACAUCCAUGUCCUAUACAAUUUUUGUUUUCUCUGUAUCUUCACAAAACAAUAGGUGAAGUCACCAAACUAUCUACGGGUUUUCUACAGUGUAUGAUCAAAUGUAUAUUUAUCAUUGAUUGUUUGGUCAGUAAAUAAUGAAAAAAAUAGUGAAAAUACAUAAAUCCUGGUUAAUCAAUUUAAACAUCUUGUCUUGCUCUUUCAACUCUCCAAGACUAUGGAAGAAUAUAUCCAAAAAAAAAAGUUCAGCAAGGGAAAAAAAAGGCUUUAAUGAAAAUGACCUCUUAGUGUUUUGCGCUACAAAGAAACUGGUUUGAAUAUUUAGUUUGUGUCCUGUGCCAAUAACCUCUUUUUAUGAAGCAAAUUUCAAAAUAAAAGUUACAAGGAGCAAAUUUAAACAUGCUUCUAGGCAAUCGUUGAAAGACAUACUUUUAUCAAGUCUCUACAUCUCCUUGUUGUAGUCAUAGUUUCCCUUCUUGAUGUUAGUGUACAGUAUGCUGCUUGUAUGUCUCCCCCUCCUCUAAUUCUCAUUCCAAUCUCGCCCUCACCAUCACUGUCUCCCUCCCUCUGUCUCCCUCCAUCCCUCACUCUCACUCCCCCUCUGUCUCUCUGCUCCUUCUCUCAGCAGUAAGCCCUCUAAUCUCUCCUGUUCAAUCGCCUGGCAGACACAUGCCCUCUGUCUGCAGAGCCAGCGGGGAUGUUUCCUGUGCAGGUGUACCACAGAGCAUGCACAAUAGGUACGAAGAGCACGGGGAGCGUGGCGGCUUUAGUAUGACGAGCAGGGCAGGUUGCAUGAUAAGUAUGCUGAGGAUGGUUAUAGGUAUGGAGAGUAAACAUGGCAGCUAUAGCGGAUGCAGCAGGUCCAGGGCACAGGGUGAUCACAGG
This is a non-coding RNA of Xyrichtys novacula (pearly razorfish), 918 nucleotides long. The record is from the annotation of a GenBank genome assembly. Lineage: Eukaryota; Metazoa; Chordata; Actinopteri; Labriformes; Labridae.